Molecule: ribosomal RNA, 492 nt
Filed under: uncultured bacterium
Lineage: Bacteria
Description: partial 16S ribosomal RNA
Rfam family: Bacterial small subunit ribosomal RNA
Source: RNAcentral
AGUGAACGCUGGCGGUAGGCCUAACACAUGCAAGUCGAACGGCAGCACAGUAAGAGCUUGCUCUUACGGGUGGCGAGUGGCGGACGGGUGAGGAAUACAUCGGAAUCUACUUUUUCGUGGGGGAUAACGUAGGGAAACUUACGCUAAUACCGCAUACGACCUACGGGUGAAAGCAGGGGAUCUUCGGACCUUGCGCGAUUGAAUGAGCCGAUGUCGGAUUAGCUAGUUGGCGGGGUAAAGGCCCACCAAGGCGACGAUCCGUAGCUGGUCUGAGAGGAUGAUCAGCCAUACUGGAACUGAAACACGGUCCAGACUCCUACGGGAGGCAGCAGUGGGGAAUAUUGGAAAAUGGGAGCAAGCCUGAUCCAGCCAUACCGCGUGGGUGAAGAAGGCCUUCGGGUUGUAAAGCCCUUUUGUUGGGAAAGAAAAGCAGCAGGUUAAUACCCAGCUGUUCUGACGGUACCCAAAGAAUAAGCACCGGCUAACUUCGUG